RNAcentral lists this ribosomal RNA (724 nucleotides) under Glomus sp. rp62. RNAcentral's name for it is "eukaryotic LSU rRNA". It matches the Rfam family "Eukaryotic large subunit ribosomal RNA", at positions 58 to 633 of the family's 3401-position model. Lineage: Eukaryota; Fungi; Glomeromycota; Glomeromycetes; Glomerales; Glomeraceae. The record is from RNAcentral.
AAAGAAACUAACAAGGAUUCCCCUAGUAACGGCGAGUGAAGAGGGAAGAGCUCAAAUUUUAAAUCUGCCUUGUUUCAAGGUCGAGUUGUAAUUUGAAGAAGCGUUUUCUUGGGCUCGCGGCCGGUAGAAGUUCUUUGGAACAGGACAUCAUAGAGGGUGACAAUCCCGUCUGCGACCGGUCGUGCGUUCAUCUACGAUACGCUUUCAAAGAGUCGAGUUGUUUGGGAUUGCAGCUCCAAAUGGGUGGUAAGCAUCACCUAAGGCUAAAUAUUGGCGAGAGACCGAUAGCGAACAAGUACCGUGAGGGAAAGAUGAAAAGAACUUUGAAAAGAGAGUUAAACAGUACGCGAAAUUGUUGAAAGGGAAACGAUUGAAGUCAGUCGUGCUGGCGCGAAAUCAACCCUCUCGUCGAGAGGACACAUGGCGUGGCGAGCCUCAAAACCGUCACGAAGCGUGAACUCUUGGCGAAAAGGAGCACUUUCGUGUCCGCUGGUUAACAUCAAUUUCGAACGUCAUAAAAAGGCUGGAGGGAUGUGGCUCCUUCGGGAGUGUUAUAACCUUUAGCGGAAUGUGGUGGUCGGGAUUGAGGAUUGCAACGACUACCUUUAGGGCUGUUCCACCUGGCCUCUCUUUGGUAUCCUGGUGACGACAGCUUGCUGACGUUGUUAGGAUUCGCCAUUGAACAGGCUAGAGUGUGAGCAAAUUCGUUAAGGAUGUUGACGUA